RNAcentral lists this ribosomal RNA (113 nucleotides) under Mesocricetus auratus (golden hamster). Lineage: Eukaryota; Metazoa; Chordata; Mammalia; Rodentia; Cricetidae. The record is from RNAcentral.
GUCUACUUCCAUACUACCCUGAAUGUGCCUCAUUUCAUCUGCUCUUGUAGACUAAGCAGGGUGAGACUUGGUUAAUACUUCGAUAGGACGGUGUACCUAGCAUGUGCAAGACC